UUCAGGGAGGUGGUGGCGGGGAUCAUUGAGCUAUUGGGGAGGCCCAACGUGUCGGACUUCUUCCCGGCGGUGGCGUGGAUGGAUCUGCAAAGGAUCCAGUCAUCCAGCGCCGCAUGAGCGUGUUCCUGUGCCGAUUCGAGCGCAUCUUCAAAGAUAUAAUCGAGAUGAAAAGAAAGAAGGAAGGCGGCGGCGUAAGCGAAGGAAAAGACUUCUUGGAGGUCAUGUUGAGGCUGGAGAAGGAAGGCUGUGAGUCUGUGACGGGAAUACGCCCUUCACCAUGACUAACGUCAAAGCUCUUCUCACGGACAUGGUGGUAGGCGAAAGAGACCACAUCCAACAUGGUAGAAUCUGCUAUUGUGUCGUCGCCGCCUCCUAGCUGCUGCUGGUCUCAAAGCUCCCCUGCCGGCCACACGCGUCACCGCAGGUUCAGCCUUCAGAUCGCCCCUCCAUGUUUGAGUUCCUAGAUCCGCCACUGUCUGCGGUCAUAUACAAUUAGAACCUUCUUCCAGCUCACAAAAGUGUGUCAUGCUUCCUCCAUCACCAAACAAGUUCUAACACCCGGCAUUCCCUGACAUCAGUUAAGCUCCAGAGGUACGCAUUGUCAUAUAAAAAAGGUGGUUCUCUCCCUUUAGCAGGUACGCUCUCUUGUACAUUCGCACUUAUCUUCUACUUUUUCUUCUCCUUCGUACAUUGUUAUUCUAAAGAAAAAAUAUAUGACUUGAGCGUCGGAGGGCCUACUCCGGAGACUUUUUUUUCCUGAUUUCUAACCUCUACAAUUCCAUGUGCUUGUCUGAGUGCGCGGUCAAGUACCGCCAGCUUAGUUAUCGCCGCCCGUCAACGCCACGUGGAGAUCCGUUCUAUGGGGCACGUACGAUAGGGGUAUCAUAGUCGCUUCUCCGUUAACACCAACGACAACUCAUCUAACCUUCAUUUGACUCAAAUUCUAGACAAGAUCAUAUUUAUUUAUUUUAUCACAAUAUUAUUUUUAC
Zingiber officinale is the source of this 989-nucleotide long non-coding RNA. RefSeq lists it as uncharacterized. The transcript has 3 exons. Lineage: Eukaryota; Viridiplantae; Streptophyta; Magnoliopsida; Zingiberales; Zingiberaceae. The record is from RefSeq and is a predicted model, not a curated record.